UUGAAAAUGAAACUAAGACAUCCUGAUCACUUGAUCAUUUUGCAGCUUAUACAGAGUAAGAGACUUGAAGACGGAGUGGCUUACACAUUUAACAGAACAGCUUCAAAGGGCAACAAAUACUUGGAAACAAUAGAUAUGGAACUCACCGAUUUAAAGGUCAAAAUCGGGGGAGCAUUGAUUACUGCAGCCACUGCAAGCGUAUCCCCUUUCCUCAUACUGGGAAUUGUGGCAAUUGGGGCUACAACAGUAUACUAUUUAAAAAGAAAUAAUGGACAUCAAAUACGUCAAAUACACCGAUGACCACAUCCCAUGUUUGUGGCCAGACGUUUAUGGAUGUGUGUGCGGACAUGGCCACUUUAACUAAAACAUUGGAGUAAAUAAAAGCAAUAAACGUCCUUAACUGUUGACUCAUU
Hypomesus transpacificus is the source of this 413-nucleotide long non-coding RNA. RefSeq lists it as uncharacterized. The record is from RefSeq and is a predicted model, not a curated record. The transcript is spliced from 3 exons. Lineage: Eukaryota; Metazoa; Chordata; Actinopteri; Osmeriformes; Osmeridae.